UAUAUUUUUUUCCCUUCAUGUCACGAAUAGGUUUAUUAAUACUUAAAAAAAAAUAUAAUUAGAAAACAUCCAUCUCGAUCAUUCGACUUCUGCUCUCAGCCUCUCUCAGACAUUCCAGUCUCUCUCUCCGUUCUUCCUACUCUCUCCAUAUUCACCAUGACCGAUUAACCUGGAUCGACUGAAUCGUAUCGAAGACGUUUGAUCACGACAAGGAGCCUGUGAAUCACCUCGUGGUGAAAGAAGCCAUCGACCAUGGAGAAGCUCCAGCGACAAAACAAUCAGGCUGAUUCGAUGCUAAAGGAGGAGGUUCAGUAUCUUCGUGUUGCAAUGGGACAUGACGAUAAAUCCCUCGAUGAAUUUGUUGAAAUACAAAAGACAUGCGUGAAUGAUUUCAUGUUUUUUUUUCUUAGCGCAAUGCUUAUGGUGCAUCAAGUAUUGCUGGAAAUGAGAAGAAACUUGGGGCUCUGCAGAAUGUGUUUGAGAAUGUGAGGAAGAAGUUGGAUGAUGAUCUUGGGAAGGCAGCGAGCCUUGAAGAAAAGGUCAAGGUCUGAACACAUGGUUAUGAGGUACACUACUCAAUCCAAUCAUGCUUCCCAAAUAUUCUCUUAUUAAUUGGCAAUGGGGGCUGUAGUGGAGUUAUACCUGACCUAGAUCCUGGAAUACUAGUGGAGGAAAGAGGUGUUCAUUUGGAGGUACAAGCAAUGAGAGAACAACAUGAGGCUGAUAUUGAAACGAUUUGAAGGAGAGCCAAGAACAGGAAGAUAAACCUAGGGAGGAAAUGAAGAAACAAACUCUGGCCACAACAGUUUAGCUUCAUAGGCAAGUAUCAUUAUUUAGGUUCUGUCUCCUAAUUACUUAGGUAUCAUAUUAUCUGGGAUUGCUUUAAUGUAAUAUGAAGUAUUGAAUGAUGUAAUGUUUUAAUCCUUCAGUCCAAUAGCAUUAAAAAUUUCUUUA
Long non-coding RNA from Rosa chinensis, 954 nucleotides. RefSeq lists it as uncharacterized. The record is from RefSeq and is a predicted model, not a curated record. The transcript is spliced from 4 exons. Lineage: Eukaryota; Viridiplantae; Streptophyta; Magnoliopsida; Rosales; Rosaceae.